Molecule: ribosomal RNA, 587 nt
Filed under: uncultured bacterium
Lineage: Bacteria
Description: bacterial SSU rRNA
Rfam family: Bacterial small subunit ribosomal RNA
Source: RNAcentral
GGGUGAGUAAUACAUCGGAACGUGCCCAGUAGUGGGGGAUAACCCGGCGAAAGCCGGACUAAUACCGCAUACGACCUACGGGUGAAAGCAGGGGAUCGCAAGACCUUGCGCUAUCGGAGCGGCCGAUGUCAGAUUAGCUUGUGGCGGGGUAAAAGCCCACCAAGGCGACGAUCUGUAGCUGGUCUGAGAGGACGACCAGCCACACUGGGACUGAGACACGGCCCAGACUCCUACGGGAGGCAGCAGUGGGGAAUUUUGGACAAUGGGCGCAAGCCUGAUCCAGCCAUGCCGCGUGCGGGAAGAAGGCCUUCGGGUUGUAAACCGCUUUUGUCAGGGAAGAAACGCUCCGGGUUAAUACCCUGGAGUAAUGACGGUACCUGAAGAAUAAGCACCGGCUAACUACGUGCCAGCAGCCGCGGUAAUACGUAGGGUGCAAGCGUUAAUCGGAAUUACUGGGCGUAAAGCGUGCGCAGGCGGCUUUGCAAGACAGAUGUGAAAUCCCCGGGCUUGACCUGGGAACUGCAUUUGUGACUGCAUGGCUGGAGUGCGGCAGAGGGGGAUGGAAUUCCGCGUGUAGCAGUGAAAUG